GCCUCGGUGGUGUAGUGGUAGAGCACGCGUCCCCGGUUAGGAUGGAAUGCGGCUCGAUUUCCGCCUCAGGCC
This is a non-coding RNA of Parelaphostrongylus tenuis, 72 nucleotides long. Lineage: Eukaryota; Metazoa; Nematoda; Chromadorea; Rhabditida; Metastrongylidae. The record is from the annotation of a GenBank genome assembly.